RNAcentral lists this unclassified non-coding RNA (487 nucleotides) under Bombus terrestris (buff-tailed bumblebee). Its description in RNAcentral is "misc RNA ENSBTSG00005019907.1". Lineage: Eukaryota; Metazoa; Arthropoda; Insecta; Hymenoptera; Apidae. The record is from RNAcentral.
UUUUAUCGAGGAAAAUACACAACGAGGGUCGAGAUAAUUUUGGAGAGCACAGUAUAUAGGUACGAUCUUUACGGAAUGUCAAUACCAGCAUCAGUGUACGCGGUUUAGGAUCCCUUUACGUGUCGUUUAACCUAUGAUUUGAAUCACUUCGGUUUGUACACGGACAAUUUUCUGCCACUCAACGUCAGAUCUGCUUACCUCCGAUGGAAAUCACCGAGAAAAAGGAGAAUAGGGGAAAACCGCCAAAAAGUUGUCAGCAAACUCGAACGCGAACAAAGAGCUGGCUGUCGUUGUAUACCGGUGCCUUUAAACGAUACGCAACGAACUAUGCACUAUAAUUCCGCUUGCGCGACGGUACCGUUUCCAUGGCAAUGCAUCGUCGAUAGGUCUGGCUACACACUACCUAUCUACUGUAUCUUGCUAUUGUCCACCAAGUGCAUUCAAGGUUAUCGUUUCUAAUUAAAUGAAGCUUUCUUAUCUCGCCUUA